Molecule: non-coding RNA, 1119 nt
Organism: Paramuricea clavata
Lineage: Eukaryota; Metazoa; Cnidaria; Anthozoa; Malacalcyonacea; Plexauridae
Source: the annotation of a GenBank genome assembly
AUAAUUGUUAGGUAGAAUAAUAAUGCUAAUCUAUGUUAUCGUAGAUCGGUUCACAUGAGAAACUUAUAAGGUUUCGCAAGCUUAAAUAUUUCCACUAAUUUGCUAAGUUCAAUAUUGUUGGCUAGAUCUCGUUCGUUGCUAAUCUGGACCCUUAAGGUCCUUGAGUCUAUCAGGUGACAUAGCAACUUGCAAAUCAUUGUUUAUUAUUUUGACCUUGCUGUGUGUGCACUCACAUGAUGCCACUGUCACAGGCAAGGUAGCGACCUCAAACAAGUGGUGAUAACGGUCGUGCAAAUCAUCUUUGUUGAAAACUUCGAGCAAGGAGGGCAAGCAAAUCCAAGGUGGAAACUUUCUUUUGAACCCUUUCUCUAGACUCUUUCCUUUCCUUCUCUUCGCUGAUAUGAUGCUCGUAUGCAAUCUUCCAGUUGGUUCAUUGAAUAUUCCAGUCAUAUGUACUCUUCGUACCAUUUCUUUUGGAAUGUAAACUUUCUCACCGAUAUUGAAAAAUCUAAGAUAGGUCUAACCGCCCAGAUUAGAAAACGAAGGUUUUAUUUGCCUCCCUCACACACAACUUCACUUGAUGAAUCUCUUCCUUCAAACAUUUUUCUCUUCCAGUUGUGUAGUCAUGCGUUCCAAGAAGCUAAUGACCAUAUGUUGUGCGAACGGUGCAUUAAUUAACAUAUCUCCCUCACAUCUCAGCAGCAGGACCAAACUUCCGCAUCACACAUUGCACUUAAUUUUGAUAAUAUAUUAACCCAUUAUGGUGCAGGGUUUCCUUCGGCGGUCGUAAUCAGUUCCUGCAAUAUGCUAAUGGUAAAUUAAUACCGCAUAUAUGAAACGGUCUUUUGUCAAAAGUAAAGCGAUGAUCUUUUAAUACCGGUUUUUAUUCACACAAUAAAGACUGGAUUUAUUAAGUUAGAUCUAAAUAACUAGACUGAUGUCAAAAACGUACCCCCCCCCCACUUUUCUCACUGGAUUUGGACAAAUUAGAAAAUUGACCUUGAAGAGAACUGGGGGGGACGUGUCCUCCCCAGUCCUCCCCGUGGCGCCGCCACUGAUUUUUGUUCUUUAUUUGUCGAUUUUGGUGUUUAUGCAUUAUAUUGACGAAUAUAUUGUAGC